Molecule: long non-coding RNA, 1054 nt
Filed under: Cricetulus griseus (Chinese hamster)
Lineage: Eukaryota; Metazoa; Chordata; Mammalia; Rodentia; Cricetidae
Description: lncRNA (ENSCGRG00015040236.1)
Source: RNAcentral
GGGCUGACAGGAAGUCAGCUCAGACCUCUCUCUGGGCUCUUCUCCUCUGGGGGAACUGGGGUGUGUGCCUUGUAGCAAAUAUUUGUCACCAGAGGGAAAUCUUGGCUGGCCUCAGGAUCGCAGAUAAUUAAGAGAUAUGAUUUAUCACUGGUGAUGUCUCCAGGCCUGGCCAGAACAUGACAGGUGUUGCCACUUUGGGAGGUUGUGGAGCCGCUAAGAAGCAGAUCCUAACUGGAGCAAGUGGGUCACAAGAGACAGGAAGAUUGGAAGCUGAUGUCCACUUCUGGUUCUGACUCAAGCACUCUACUUCCUGAUCUGCCAACAUAUGAAUAGAAUAGUCUGCAAGCUUCUGCCACCACCAAGAACUGAACCACUUGGGUAGCCAUGCUUGCCCUGUCAUGAUGAACUAUAUCCCUGGAAGUUGUAUGCAAACAUAAAUCAUUUCUUCCUUGAGUUGCUUCUUUCAGAUUCUUUCCAAUAGUGAGAAGAAAAGUCACCAGUACACAUACAUACCCAGGAGAGAGAUUUCUGGAGAAUAGUGUUUUGAGCUUUUGCAUUGUCCUAUUGGUUUUAGAGUGACAUGCCAGUUUAUGUUCUUAUUAACAGUUAUUGACAGUUGUUGUACAUGCCUCUCAAGCUGGACUUUACUCUCUGUCUUUCAUGUUUGAGAACUCCAUCUAAUUUGUUAACAAGAAAGAAAUGGCCAGGCUGUCUACCUGCCAACAAGGAAGGCAUUUGAAACAUGCAAGCUAAAUGCAGAAAGCCGGUUCCUUCCACCCAGAUGUGCUCUUUUCACAAAACGGAGAAAGGAAUGCCACAACUGUUUGCUCACGUUCAAAGGGAUGGCUUCUGGCUCCUGCUUCCACCAUGUUAUCCAUCUGGAGAGUUUUGUUUUGUGUGAAAACUCAGCCAUCAAUGGCAGAAGACAAUUGGCUAAAAGCCUGCAGCAAAUCCCCAGUUGAGCUAGGCGGAGGCCCUGGUGAAGAGCCGUCUACCAAAUAUCCUGGCGGAUCUUUCAAGUGGUUCCAGUUUUUGAACAAGGAGCGAAACAAAC